This 438-nucleotide ribosomal RNA is filed under the name uncultured bacterium. Its description in RNAcentral is "bacterial SSU rRNA". It matches the Rfam family "Bacterial small subunit ribosomal RNA", at positions 958 to 1392 of the family's 1533-position model. The record is from RNAcentral.
AACGCGAAGAACCCUACAUGGGCUUGACACGUCGGAGAAAUCCUGCAGAAACGUGAGCCCCUCUUAGGAGUUCCAGCACAGAUGGUGCAUGGCUGUUGUCAGCUUGGGUCGUGAGAAGGUGGGUUAAGUCCCGCAACGAGGGCAACCCUCAUCUCCAGUUACCAGCGGGUAAUGCCGGGGACUCUGGAGGGACUGCCGGUGCCAAACCGGAGGAAGGGGGGGAGGACGUCAAGUCAUCAUGGCUCUUACGUCCAGGGCCACACACGUGCUACAAUGGCCGAGACAGAGGGUCGCGAACCCGGGAGGGGGAGCCAAUCCCCAAACUCGGCCUCAGUUCGGAUUGUAGUCUGCAACUCGACUACAUGAAGCUGGAAUCGCUAGUAAUCGUGGAUCAAGCUAUCGCCAGCGGUGAAUACGUUCCCGGGUCUGUACACACCA